GAUGAACGCUGGCGGCGUGCCUAAUACAUGCAAGUCGAGCGAACGGACGAGAAGCUUGCUUCUCUGAUGUUAGCGGCGGACGGGUGAGUAACACGUGGAUAACCUACCUAUAAGACUGGGAUAACUUCGGGAAACCGUAGCUAAUACCGGAUAAUAUUUUGAACCGCAUGGUUCAAAAGUGAAAGACGGUCUUGCUGUCACUUAUAGAUGGAUCCGCGCUGCAUUAGCUAGUUGGUAAGGUAACGGCUUACCAAGGCAACGAUGCAUAGCCGACCUGAGAGGGUGAUCGGCCACACUGGAACUGAGACACGGUCCAGACUCCUACGGGAGGCAGCAGUAGGGAAUAUUCCGCAAUGGGCGAAAGCCUGACGGAGCAACGCCGCGUGAGUGAUGAAGGUCUUCGGAUCGUAAAACUCUGUUAUUAGGGAAGAACAGAUGUGUAAGUAACUGUGCACAUCUUGACGGUACCUAAUCAGAAAGCCACGGCUAACUACGUG
RNAcentral lists this ribosomal RNA (497 nucleotides) under uncultured bacterium. Its description in RNAcentral is "partial 16S ribosomal RNA". It matches the Rfam family "Bacterial small subunit ribosomal RNA", at positions 28 to 507 of the family's 1533-position model. The record is from RNAcentral.